GAUGAACGCUAGCUACAGGCUUAACACAUGCAAGUCGAGGGACCGGCGCACGGGUGAGUAACACGUAUCCAACCUGCCCUUUACUCGGGGGUAGCCUUUCGAAAGAAAGAUUAAUACCCGAUAUAAAGGAUGGGGAUGCGUUCUAUUAGGUUGUUGGUGAGGUAACGGCUCACCAAGCCUUCGAUGGAUAGGGGUUCUGCGAGGAAGGUCCACCACAUGUGAACUGAGACACGGUCCAAAACCCUACGGGAGGAAGGAGUGAGGAAUAUUGGUCAAGGGGCGGUAGCCUGAACCAGCCAAGGAGCGGUAGGGAUGAAGGCUUAUGGGUCGUAAUCUGCUUUUAUAUAAGAAUAUGUAUUAUAUGAAUAAGGAUCGGCUAACUCCGUGCCAGCAGCCGCGGUAAUAC
This 406-nucleotide ribosomal RNA is filed under the name uncultured bacterium. Its description in RNAcentral is "partial 16S ribosomal RNA". It matches the Rfam family "Bacterial small subunit ribosomal RNA", at positions 28 to 526 of the family's 1533-position model. The record is from RNAcentral.